ACUCCUACGGGAGGCAGCAGUAGGGAAUCUUCCACAAUGGGCGCAAGCCUGAUGGAGCAACACCGCGUGAGUGAAGAAGGGUUUCGGCUCGUAAAGCUCUGUUGUUAAAGAAGAACACGUAUGAGAGUAACUGUUCAUACGUUGACGGUAUUUAACCAGAAAGUCACGGCUAACUACGUGCCAGCAGCCGCGGUAAUACGUAGGUGGCAAGCGUUAUCCGGAUUUAUUGGGCGUAAAGAGAGUGCAGGCGGUUUUCUAAGUCUGAUGUGAAAGCCUUCGGCUUAGCCGGAGAAGUGCAUCGGAAACUGGAUAACUUGAGUGCAGAAGAGGGUAGUGGAACUCCAUGUGUAGCGGUGGAAUGCGUAGAUAUAUGGAAGAACACCAGUGGCGAAGGCGGCUACCUGGUCUGCAACUGACGCUGAGACUCGAAAGCAUGGGUAGCGAACAGGAUUAGAUACCCUGGUAGGAUAGCG
This 473-nucleotide ribosomal RNA is filed under the name uncultured bacterium. RNAcentral's name for it is "bacterial SSU rRNA". It matches the Rfam family "Bacterial small subunit ribosomal RNA", at positions 335 to 801 of the family's 1533-position model. The record is from RNAcentral.